UAUUGGUCAAUGGGCGCGAGCCUGAACCAGCCAAGUAGCGUGAAGGAUGACGGCCCUAUGGGUUGUAUACUUCUUUUAUAUGGGAAUANNGUUUUCCACGUGUGGAAUUUUGUAUGUACAAUAUGAAUAAGGAUCGGCUAACUCCGUGUCAGCAGCCGCGGUAAUACGGAGGAUCCGAGCGUUAUCCGGAUUUAUUGGGUUUAAAGGGAGCGUAGGUGGACAGUUAAGUCAGUUGUGAAAGUUUGCGGCUCAACCGUAAAAUUGCAGUUGAAACUGGCAGUCUUGAGUACAGUAGAGGUGGGCGGAAUUCGUGGUGUAGCGGUGAAAUGCUUAGAUAGCACGAAGAACUCCGAUUGCGAAGGCAGCUCACUAGACUGCAACUGACACUGAUGCUCGAAAGUGUGGGUAUCAAAC
Molecule: ribosomal RNA, 414 nt
Filed under: uncultured bacterium
Lineage: Bacteria
Description: bacterial SSU rRNA
Rfam family: Bacterial small subunit ribosomal RNA
Source: RNAcentral